GAGCUUUCCUGGGUGGAAGGGGUUUUGGAUCUGCAAUGGAAGCCCUUUUCAAUUAUAUUGGAUCAGAAUAUGGAAAUACAUUUGCAUUAGCUAGAGUUUUUGCUUUUCUUUCGGGUGCUCCCGAUAUUGGAGCUGGCCAACUAGAUACAAGACGAUAUGGAGAGCAGUACGCUAGUAGACGAGAGGAUGCAGAUCGAGCUUUACUUCCCGAACAAAC
This 217-nucleotide unclassified non-coding RNA is filed under the name Hevea brasiliensis (rubber tree). The record is from RNAcentral. Lineage: Eukaryota; Viridiplantae; Streptophyta; Magnoliopsida; Malpighiales; Euphorbiaceae.